RNAcentral lists this ribosomal RNA (253 nucleotides) under uncultured bacterium. Its description in RNAcentral is "partial 16S ribosomal RNA". It matches the Rfam family "Bacterial small subunit ribosomal RNA", at positions 524 to 776 of the family's 1533-position model. The record is from RNAcentral.
UACGUAGGGUGCAAGCGUUGUCCGGAAUUAUUGGGCGUAAAGAGCUCGUAGGCGGUCUGUCGCGUCUGCUGUGAAAACUCGGGGCUUAACCCCGGGCCUGCAGUGGGUACGGGCAGACUAGAGUGCGGUAGGGGAGACUGGAAUUCCUGGUGUAGCGGUGAAAUGCGCAGAUAUCAGGAGGAACACCGGUGGCGAAGGCGGGUCUCUGGACAGUUCCUGACACUGAGACACGAAGGCCAGGGGAGCAAACGGG